This is a long non-coding RNA of Lemur catta (Ring-tailed lemur), 1689 nucleotides long. RefSeq lists it as uncharacterized. Lineage: Eukaryota; Metazoa; Chordata; Mammalia; Primates; Lemuridae. The record is from RefSeq and is a predicted model, not a curated record. The transcript has 3 exons.
UGACUUGCUCUGGCUAACAAAUAUGUUGGAAGUGACAAUGUAUGAAUUCUGGAGCCUAGACUCAGAAGACCUUGCAGCUUCCCCUUUCACUUUCUCGGAAUCUGCUGGUAACGGGUAAAGAACCCAGGCUAUUCUGCUAGAGAGCCACAUGGAAGAGAACUAAGGUGCCUUGGCUGACAACCCCAGCUAACUGCCAGAUAUGUGAAUGAGGCCAUCUUGAACUGUCAUGGUCCACAUGACUGCAGCCACAUGAGCAGCUCCAGCUUGAGUCCCAGCAUAAUCCAGUGAAUAAGAGAGAUGAGAGAAGAGGAAAUCAAGAGAUGUGCCAGCAGCUUAAUCGUGGGCCAGAUCCCAGGCCUCCUCCUGCAGUGUCCAGUGGCCCAGUGCUGGGUACUGCCCUGAACAGGCUCCAUGUGCAGCUGUUUCUCUGCAGAGACCCUCAAUCCAGGAUGCAAACCCAGGAUGUACAGGAGUGGAGCCGUGACAGUUCCCAGACCCUCUCACGUAAUCUCUCAAGGAAUCCAGCUUAAUAGAUCAGCCCACUUUAGACAAAGCAACAGAGAACAGAGAAUGGAUUCAGAAGCCCUGCUCCUAUCAGUCUACCCACACAGCAAGCUGGGGGGUCAGAGGUGAGGGGAGCAGGCCUGGGGUAGGAAAGGCUCCUGAAUUCCUCUGCCCCUGCAUGGUGCAGGGAUCUCAGGUAUUCUCUGAUUAAGGUGGGAAGCAGCACAGCGGCCCUCUGGAAUGUAAACAUCAGAUAAGAUCCAGCUCCCUCCUCGCCAGGGAGCUUCCAUUUUCUCUCUUCUAGGAUGGACACCACAUUCCUUCACAGGAAUUCCUUUCAGCCCCCUUUAGCCCCUUCAGACUUUGACCCCCCAGUUCUUUCCACCCCCCCUUCCUCAGCACUAGUCUCCAUUCUGCAUCCCCUAUGGCUUCCUUAUCUGACCCAGGCCUGCAGUGUCAGAACUGGAGGGGGACCUUCAGCAUGUGGACAUCUCUUGAGUUCAGGCUGGGAGUUUUUGCCCCCUGCCAUGGGCUUCUCUCCCUUGUGUCUCCUAGGAAGGUAUAGUGGGCUCCAUCGUUGUACCAAUACAAUGUUCAUUCCAAUAAGCAAUCCCCGCCAACACGUGGGGCCACCACCCCAAGCAUUAAAGGAUGAGUGGUGCUAACAAGAGGUGUCAGAGGAGGAGAGAGCACUGGCAGGGAGCCGGUGGGUGGUUGGUGGUCCAGUUAUGGAGAGGGCUACAGGGAGGAGGUGCGAUUUGCACCGAGCCUUGAGGAAAGUGUGGGGUGCAGGAAAUAGAGGAAUGGGGAGAAGUCCUGGCAGGAGGCGGUUUGGGAUCUGUCCAGAUGGAGCAGAGGGUUUAGAGAAGGGGCACUGGGGAGGUAAGUAGGAAGACAGACAAGGGGGUGAAGAGGGUGAUGGAAUGUAGGGCCAAGGUCAGAUUUUAACUUUGAACAGUGGGAAAGCCUUCAAAGGUGCUGGAGGGGAGUAGUAGUAGGAGGAUGAUGUGGAUUUAAAGAUAAUUCCAGAAGCAAACUGUGGACUGUUGUGCAGGGUAGAGAGGUGAAGGUCUCACACUCUCCUACCUCCCGACUCCUCACCCUCAGCUGUUGCCACUGUCCGGGGCCCAGAAGUACCUUGAGUGAAGAUCCAGGAUGGGUGGGACUGAGGGAGCCAUGAGAUAC